UAAGAUGUAAAUUUGAAAAGUUAGAGUAGUAUUAGUUAAGUUCUUGAAACUCAAAAAAUUUGGCGGUAUUUUAGACUAUUCAGAGGAACCUGUGAUGUAAUUGAUAAUCCACGAUGAACCUUACUUGAACUUGUUAUAUUUCAGUUUGUAUACCGCCGUUAUUUGAAAAUUUUAUAAGAAUAAUAAUUUUCAAGGAUUUUAAUGAUAAAAGUAAAUCAGGUCAAGGUGCAGCUUAUGUUUAAGUAUCCCAUGGGUUACAAUAAAUUUAUUUAUACGGAUUAAAAUAUGAAAUUAUUUUAUGAAGGUGGAUUUGAAAGUAAAUUUUUAUAGAUUAAAAAGUUGACUUUAGCUCUAAAAUAUGCACACAUCGCCCGUCGCUCUUGUUAAUAAUAUAAGAUAAGUCGUAACAUAGUAGAGGUACCGGAAGGUGUCUCUAGAAUGACAAUUUAAAGCUUAUUAAGUAAAGCAUUUCAUUUACACUGAAAAGAUUAUUGUGCAAGUCAAUAUAAAUUGAUAGUAUAUAAUUAUUAAUUUUGUUUUAUUUUUAUUAAUAUUAGAAAUAACUAUUGUUGUGUUUAAGUAUUUUAUAAAGAAAUAAUAAUUUUAAUUAUAGUGAAUUAGUAAUUUGAAUGAAUUUUGAAAUAAUUGAAAAAUAUAUAGUGAAUAAGAA
RNAcentral lists this ribosomal RNA (670 nucleotides) under Thinophilus murphyi. Its description in RNAcentral is "partial 12S ribosomal RNA". The stretch from base 1 to 444 matches the Rfam family "Microsporidia small subunit ribosomal RNA", at positions 723 to 1311 of the family's 1311-position model. Lineage: Eukaryota; Metazoa; Arthropoda; Insecta; Diptera; Dolichopodidae. The record is from RNAcentral.